RNAcentral lists this ribosomal RNA (731 nucleotides) under Nematoda environmental sample. Its description in RNAcentral is "bacterial SSU rRNA". It matches the Rfam family "Eukaryotic small subunit ribosomal RNA", at positions 832 to 1590 of the family's 1831-position model. The record is from RNAcentral. Lineage: Eukaryota; Metazoa; Nematoda.
GGUUCUGUUUUAUUGGUUCGGAGCUAAUAUAAUGAUUGAAGGGGACAGACGGGGGCAUUCGUAUUGCGACGUUAGAGGUGAAAUUCUUGGAUCGUCGCAAGACGGACUACUGCGAAAGCAUUUGCCAAGAAUGUUUUCAUCAAUCAAGAACGAAAGUCUGAGGUUCGAAGGCGAUCAGAUACCGCCCUAGUUCAGACCGUAAACGAUGCCAACUAGCGAUCCGAGGGCGUUAAUUUAUGACUCCUCGGGAAGCUUCCGGGAAACCAAAGUUUUUGGGUUCCGGGGGAAGUAUGGUUGCAAAGCUGAAACUUAAAGGAAUUGACGGAAGGGCACCACCAGGAGUGGAGCCUGCGGCUUAAUUUGACUCAACACGGGGAAACUCACCAGGUCCAGACACAAUAAGGAUUGACAGAUUGAGAGCUCUUUCUUGAUUUUGUGGGUGGUGGUGCAUGGCCGUUCUUAGUUGGUGGAUUGAUUUGUCUGCUUAAUUGCGAUNACGAACGAGACCAACGUCUUUAAAUAGCCAGGCUAGCUUUGGCUGGUCGCCGGCUUCUUAAAGAGACUUUCUGCUUAAGCAGAAGGAAGUUGUUGGCCAUAACAGGUCUGUGAUGCCCUUAGAUGUUCUGGGCCGCACGCGCGCUACACUGACAGAGCCAACGAGUUUCUUCCUUGUCCGAAAGGGCUGGGUAAUCUUGUUNAACUCUGUCGUGCUGGGGAUAGAGCANUGCAAU